CCGUGCUAGGCGGGGACGUAGCGGCGCCCUGAAUCCGCAAUCCGCUUUAGCGGGGCUGAAUUCCCUCCCGAGGGGUGCAGGCCCCGAGUCAGCGUCCGGUUAGCGGUGCUGAUGGUUCGGUCC
Molecule: signal recognition particle RNA, 123 nt
Filed under: Actinomycetota bacterium
Lineage: Bacteria; Bacillati; Actinomycetota
Description: partial signal recognition particle sRNA large type
Rfam family: Bacterial large signal recognition particle RNA
About the family: The signal recognition particle (SRP) is a universally conserved ribonucleoprotein involved in the co-translational targeting of proteins to membranes. Archaeal SRP consists of a 7S RNA and homologues of the eukaryotic SRP19 and SRP54 proteins.
Source: RNAcentral